CCAAGGAAGGAACCUGCACAGCCUCUCCCCUUUAGGAAUCAGUAAAGUUGGAAAAUACCUCCAAGAUCAUUAAGUCCAACAUUCAAUUUUAAUUCCAACUUGUGCCUCUUGUCUCUCAUCUUCUUGCCAAGCAGACUGCAGAACGAAGUGUAACCCGUGUGACAAGAAGGGAUGGGGGAGAGACUGAGCCCUGGGACUGUGGUAGUAAACGGAACUACAUGAGGAAACAUCCUCAUCCUUUGUGGUCCCUGGCUUAGGGAUGGCUGGAGUUAUGUACAUUCACUCCAGUUGACCUGGAAGAAGAAAUUGAGCCGUGGAAGAAGGUCUUUGACCAUGGUAAUGUGGGAAGAAUAUAAAGAUGUAUGGAAUUCCCAGCUGAAUGCAGUUAUGCUGAAGAGAGAGUUAUGUUUAUCCAUAACAACAAGAAAAUCUUUUGAAGCAUAGUUUAAAGCUGACAGACAAAACCAAUAUUUGCUGCAUAAUGGCAGCAAAAUUGCAUUUGUAAAACACAACUAAUAAAACUGAGAUCUACUACUGCUUAAAAAGGAGCAGGUCAAA
This is a long non-coding RNA of Corapipo altera (White-ruffed manakin), 558 nucleotides long. RefSeq lists it as uncharacterized. NCBI's taxonomy places the organism in Eukaryota, Metazoa, Chordata, Aves, Passeriformes, Pipridae. The transcript has 2 exons. The record is from RefSeq and is a predicted model, not a curated record.